GCAGCACGCCGCGUGCGGGAAGAAGGCCCUAGGGUUGUAACCGCUUUCAGUAGGGAAGAAAAUGACGGUACCUACAGAAGAAGGUGCGGCCAACUACGUGCCAGCAGCCGCGGUAACACGUAGGCACCAAGCGUUAUCCGGAUUUAUUGGGCGUAAAGAGCUCGUAGGCGGUUCAGUCAGUCGGGUGUGAAAACUUGAGGCUUAACCUCAAGAGGUCACUCGAUACUACUGUGACUAGAGUGCGGUAGGGGAGCGGGGAAUUCCUGGUGUAGCGGUGAAAUGCGCAGAUAUCAUGAGGAACACCAGUGGCGAAGGCGCCGCUCUGGGCCGUAACUGACGCUGAGGAGCGAAAGCAUGGGUAGCAAACAGGAUUAGAUACCCUGGUAGUCCAUGCCGUAAACGUUGGGCACUAGGUGUGGGUCUCAACCAACGAGAUCCGCGCCGUCGCUAACGCAUUAAGUGCCCCGCCUGGGGAGUACAGUCGCAAGACUAAAACUCA
This 499-nucleotide ribosomal RNA is filed under the name uncultured bacterium. RNAcentral describes it as "bacterial SSU rRNA". It matches the Rfam family "Bacterial small subunit ribosomal RNA", at positions 388 to 903 of the family's 1533-position model. The record is from RNAcentral.